RNAcentral lists this ribosomal RNA (560 nucleotides) under uncultured bacterium. RNAcentral's name for it is "bacterial SSU rRNA". It matches the Rfam family "Bacterial small subunit ribosomal RNA", at positions 338 to 916 of the family's 1533-position model. The record is from RNAcentral.
CCUACGGGAGGCAGCAGUGGGGAAUCUUGCGCAAUGGGCGAAAGCCUGACGCAGCCAUGCCGCGUGAAUGAUGAAGGUCUUAGGAUUGUAAAAUUCUUUCACCGGGGACGAUAAUGACGGUACCCGGAGAAGAAGCCCCGGCUAACUUCGUGCCAGCAGCCGCGGUAAUACGAAGGGGGCUAGCGUUGCUCGGAAUUACUGGGCGUAAAGGGAGCGUAGGCGGAUAGUUUAGUCAGAGGUGAAAGCCCAGGGCUCAACCUUGGAAUUGCCUUUGAUACUGGCUAUCUUGAGUAUGGGAGAGGUUAGCGGAACUCCGAGUGUAGAGGUGAAAUUCGUAGAUAUUCGGAAGAACACCAGUGGCGAAGGCGGCUAACUGGCCCAUUACUGACGCUGAGGCUCGAAAGCGUGGGGAGCAAACAGGAUUAGAUACCCUGGUAGUCCACGCCGUAAACGAUGAGUGCUAGUUGUCGGCAUGCAUGCAUGUCGGUGACGCAGCUAACGCAUUAAGCACUCCGCCUGGGGAGUACGGUCGCAAGAUUAAAACUUAAAGGAAUUGACGG